Molecule: ribosomal RNA, 490 nt
Filed under: uncultured bacterium
Lineage: Bacteria
Description: partial 16S ribosomal RNA
Rfam family: Bacterial small subunit ribosomal RNA
Source: RNAcentral
AUUGAACGCUGGCGGCAGGCCUAACACAUGCAAGUCGAACGGUAACAGGAAGCAGCUUGCUGCUUUGCUGACGAGUGGCGGACGGGUGAGUAAUGUCUGGGAAACUGCCUGAUGGAGGGGGAUAACUACUGGAAACGGUAGCUAAUACCGCAUAAUGUCGCAAGACCAAAGAGGGGGACCUUCGGGCCUCUUGCCAUCGGAUGUGCCCAGAUGGGAUUAGCUAGUAGGUGGGGUAAAGGCUCACCUAGGCGACGAUCCCUAGCUGGUCUGAGAGGAUGACCGGCCCAACUGGAACUGAGACACGGUCCCGACUCCUACGGGAGGCAGCCGUGGGGAAUAUUGGACAAUGGGGGCAAGCCUGAUGCAGCCAUGCCGCGUGGAUGAAGAAGGCCUUCGGGUUGUAAAGUACUUUCAGCGGGGAGGAAGGGAGUAAAGUUAAUACCUUUGCUCAUUGACGUUACCCGCAGAAGAAGCACCGGCUAACUCCGUG